AAGGGAAACCGAGUCUUAACUGGGCGUUAAGUUGCAGGGUAUAGACCCGAAACCCGGUGAUCUAGCCAUGGGCAGGUUGAAGGUUGGGUAACACUAACUGGAGGACCGAACCGACUAAUGUUGAAAAAUUAGCGGAUGACUUGUGGCUGGGGGUGAAAGGCCAAUCAAACCGGGAGAUAGCUGGUUCUCCCCGAAAGCUAUUUAGGUAGCGCCUCGUGAACUCAUCUUCGGGGGUAGAGCACUGUUUCGGCUAGGGGGUCAUCCCGACUUACCAACCCGAUGCAAACUGCGAAUACCGAAGAAUGUUAUCACGGGAGACACACGGCGGGUGCUAACGUCCGUCGUGAAGAGGGAAACAACCCAGACCGCCAGCUAAGGUCCCAAAGUCACAGUUAAGUGGGAAACGAUGUGGGAAGGCUCAGACAGCCAGGAUGUUGGCUUAGAAGCAGCCAUCAUUUAAAGAAAGCGUAAUAGCUCACUGGUCGAGUCGGCCUGCGCGGAAGAUGUAACGGGGCUAAACUGUGCACCGAAGCUGCGGCAGCGACGCUUAUGCGUUGUUGGGUAGGGGAGCGUUCUGUAAGCCUGCGAAGGUGUCCUGUGAGGGAUGCUGGAGGUAUCAGAAGUGCGAAUGCUGACAUAAGUAACGAUAAUGCGGGUGAAAAGCCCGCUCGCCGGAAGACCAAGGGUUCCUGUCCAACGUUAAUCGGGGCAGGGUGAGUCGACCCCUAAGGCGAGGCCGAAAGGCGUAGUCGAUGGGAAACGGGUUAAUAUUCCCGUACUUGGUGUUACUGCGAAGGGGGGACGGAGAAGGCUAUGUUGGCCGGGCGACGGUUGUCCCGGUUUAAGCGUGUAGGCUGGUUUUCCAGGCAAAUCCGGAAAAUCAAGGC
Molecule: ribosomal RNA, 887 nt
Filed under: Salmonella enterica subsp. enterica serovar Kentucky str. 20793
Lineage: Bacteria; Pseudomonadati; Pseudomonadota; Gammaproteobacteria; Enterobacterales; Enterobacteriaceae
Description: bacterial LSU rRNA
Rfam family: Bacterial large subunit ribosomal RNA
Source: RNAcentral